Long non-coding RNA from Neopelma chrysocephalum (saffron-crested tyrant-manakin), 7768 nucleotides. RefSeq lists it as uncharacterized. The record is from RefSeq and is a predicted model, not a curated record. The transcript is spliced from 4 exons. NCBI's taxonomy places the organism in Eukaryota, Metazoa, Chordata, Aves, Passeriformes, Pipridae.
AGUUAAGACUGAAGUUGUGUUAUAAGAGCAAGAGUGGGAGUAAGGAGAGGAACUUCAAAGUAAAAAAAUAAUGCUAAAGUCUUGGGAAAACCAUGAACAAUUUCCUGAGUAUCCAGCCCACACUUUCCUGACAUGUGUAAAGCUGCAAAUUUCUCCUAUCAUUACAUGAUUGAGAAAAUACAAUAAGAAGGUGUAGGGAAAUAUGAAAUGGAUGAUUCAUGCUUUUGAGAUGUGCAUCUCUCAUUUCUGAUACAAGUGACUGGUUCCUCUGAAUUGCUCCCAGCAGCUUACACCAUUCUCUUUUAUGCAGGACCAAGAAGUGACCAAGACACUUUUAUCUUGUGUCAGCCUGCAAGUCUUCAUCUGAGAUGCUCUUCUUCCUUGUCUUGAUUACGACCCAGAAUUUGAACCUAAAUUGCAGAUUAGUGCACAAAGAUGGAUGUUGUCUUUGCUUUUUGAAUACCAAGAAACACCUGCUUUUUUUUUAGAGUUCAAAGCAGAACUCUUCAUUUCUGAAACACCUUUAAGUAUAACAGUAGGAGACCUCCUUUUCCCCAUUUGUAUUCCUAUUCUCUUUCUUAAAGAAAUUGUUCUGCAAUUUGCUUCACCAUGCCGGCACAAAUUUUUUGGAAGAAUGUUGAUAGCAUAACAACUUCAUGUUAGCAGGAUGUAUGCUAGCUCAGGUCCUGUGUGUCACAUUGUUCUGACUUCACAUUAAUUCAGGAAUUGCACUGCCAUUACAAAACCAAAACCAAAAUAAAAGCAAAAGGCCUGUAGAAGUUGUGUAUCAUGAAUGUUCUUGUGUGUCCAUGUCUCUAAUCCAGAUCAAAUGUAUUGUGCUAGGUGACCUGGCAUUUCCCACAUUUGGUACUAAUGACCGUUUAAAUAAAGCUUGAGGAAAACUUCUUUAUCAGACUUAUUUGAUAUUUUUCUUAAAAUCAGAAUCCUUCAUUGUAGGUUUCUUGGGAUCUGAGGAUGGCAGUUAUUCUAACCAGCUGUGAGGACGGAUACUUACAGUAAAAAAUUCACAUCAAAUGAGUAGAUUUUUUUGAGGUCUGGAAAUACUUUGAGUCCAGUAUUGAAAAUACCACUAAAAGAAAGGAGAAACAGAAAAAAUUACAUGUACUGGAUCACUGAACAACAACAAAAAAUGUAUUUAAAGUGUUUGACAAUGUGGGAUGGUUAUUUCAUCCUCUCUAUUGUCAAUUGAUUAAUUUAUAAUCAACUGUCCAAAAUAAAAGAAUGCAAGAACAAUUGAAAAAAUUCAAAAUAACAGAUUUAUGAUAAAUUAUAGAAUCUAAAAAAUGGGAACACAGACUAAUAAGACAGCUAAGCAGAUCUGCAGAGGGAAGUAGCUUGUGAGGUUUCACUUGAGAGUUUAAGGCUGCUUCUGCUAAUAGUCUGGACCCCCAAAUCCUCUAUCUUUCAUUGUGGUUAAGAGCUGAUCAUAUAGCUCUAAAAAGGGAAACUGUCUUAAAAUGUGAAUAUGCUUAAUGCUCCUUCUUUCUCAACUCCUGUAUAGUGGAAAUAACUUAAGAAAGUAUAGUUCUCUAUCUUUAAAACUAUUUUCCUGAAAUGAAAUUUUUUUACUACUUUCUUUUUUUGUUGCUUUCAUAUCUAUAGGAGAAACCUGGAAAAAUCUUUCCUCCUUGCCCCAGCCCCCACCAGACGCAGAGAGAACCCUUCCUAGUGUCUUCCAAACAUUACUCAAAAUCAGAGAAGUUUCUUUAGAGAUUCAUGGGAAUUUUUCACAAUUUCUUUCUGCCUUAGAUGUUGUAUGAAAUCAGGUGUAUAUAGGUGGGCUUUUCACAUUUGACUGACAGGUUUGCUUUAAAAUCCUGUGUAAAUAUCUAACAAAAAGAUAAGUAUAUAUCUGUUGUGUCCCUUCUUCCCACUAUUCCCUACAAAAAUAGAGAAUGACAGCACUUAUCAUAAGAAGAAACUAGCUGUGGAAUUUUGCCAAGGAACAUUAUUGUGUUCUAGAUAUUUAAUCAAUAAGACAAAUGGGAAAAUUACUGAUGAAUUUUUGAAUGUUUUCCUUUCUUACAAAAGUAGUAAAAAUUCCAACCCAUACCUUAUCUGGCUUUCUGUCAUUAAAAUAAAGCAACAGGGAAAAACAUGGCAAUCAGUUCCGAAAUGAAAUGUAAAGAAACAAAACUGCUAUAAUGUAAGGAGUCAUCUGUGAGAUUUAAGUGCCAACUUGUUACAGGUGCUAAAUACUUACAGGUAUUUCAAAACUGGGAGGUUCUUAAACGCAUCUGGAUCUAUGUAAUCCAAGUUUCUAAGAUUUCGAAUUUCACUGUAAAAAAGAGAGGAACAUUAAUAAUUAAUAUUUAAUUACUUAUCCCAACAGAAAUCAGAAAUGUUAAAAUGAAUUUUCAGGGACUUAACUCAUGCAACAAGCUUUUUGUACUAGCCAGUGCUAGCCCAAGACCACUAUGCAUUCUGAACAAUCUUACAGUGAUGCAUUAUCAUCUGGAUAGAUGCCAUCCUGGAGACUGGCUACUUGAAGCAAGGGGGUAAGAAGCACCUGAGAUUUGAUUAUGGAUCUUUUGUCUACAUGGUCCUAAAAUCAAAACAAGUACCCUGUGUUAAUGGCUAUUACUUUGAACAUGGUGAGUGUUUUGUGACUGCAAAGUUGAGUAAAAAGAAAAGUUAAGUAAAACUUUCAGUAUUUAUAUAUAAUAAUCCUAUCAAAUUACAAUGACCUGUAUAGCUUAUAAUUUUAUGUUCUAUUUUUCUGGUUACUUUCUUCAUGUGUCUAACAGUAUUUUGUAUUAUAUUUCCUGUUUCUUCUUCAGAACUCAUCAAAAGAUGGCUCAGGUCACUUAAAUUAACUUUGUUCUGAGACUUGAAAUGCACACACUAUUCACUGUAUAGCCAUGUCCAGCAGUUUAGAGGAUAGUGUACCUCUGCUGUAUAAUGACACAAAACAUAACAUGGGCUUCAUUCCUUACACCUUCUGCCCAUGGUUAUGUCUUUAAAUACUUCUACCCAGGCAACAGCUUCGUGUACAAGUAGCUUUUUAGUCUGCACAUGUUAAAAAACCAGUCUGACACUAAUCACAGCUAUGGCCACGAUGGGUGCUUUCUGUAGGUGUUUAGAUGGGGCUGCUGCCCCUCCAGCUAUCAUGGUCAUUGCCUGGAGUCAUGACUCUUCCCCGUUUCUCUGAAAUGUUUGUCUCUUCCCUUAAUGUAAUUUCCCUCAAUCUUUCUAAUUCCUCUGUUUUCUAGUGGAUUUCUUUCUUUUCUAUGCCCAAUGGCGGUUAGCAGUCUGCCUGCACCAAUCAGACUGUGCCAAAAUUCCCUGUCUAGACUCAGUAGAGCUACUGAAUUUUCAUCUUUUAUUAAAAAAGUCACACAUACCCUCACCCAUCGCAUGCAGACUUUUAAUUUCCUGGUCUCUUUACUGUCUCCAGAAGAAUAUAGACAUUUAUGCAUAUUUUUUCUUUAUCUUAAACCAGCUCUGGACGCUGGUCUCAUAACACUGCUGGAACAACACUCAGCCUUUUUUAAUUUAGAAACCAUACAGAAAGAAUGGUGCCAGUCUUCUUCCUGAUGCUAGCAGUGGAGCAAUAGGCUAAAGAAAGCACUUUGGCCUACAUAUAUAUAGAAAUUUGAUGAAGAUGACAGGUAAAGAUGGCAUAGUGGUGCAGGUGAUGUGGAUGAUGUUCUGGUCUUAAGUCAGUCCAAGAAGUGCUACCACUGGACAGAAACUCAGUAGGCAGAAACCAGUAGUAUUUAAUUUGCCAUGGCCUAACAGUGCCAAGUAAUCUACACAAUAUAAGAAUCAGAAAAUCAGAGUUUAAGGCUAACUGCCACUGGAAUUAUUUUUACAGGAUAAAAUCAACCCAGACAAGUUGUCUAAGAAAUCAAAGUGGGAAAAGAGACAGAAGACAGUAGGUAAAAUAGUAUGUAGAUACCAGUACGAAGACUUCAACCUCUCUAUAUACUGUUGUAUUGACAAAACAGUCCUGCUCCACCUUCAAGUCUUCAGUUUUUAUUCUGUUUACUACAACACUGCAGGGAAAUGAGGAUUUACCUUUUACUUGCGUGUUAAACUGAUAUCAUUAAUAGCUAUAGUACUGCUACUAUAGUGCUGCAUUCAAAUAUUCAUGUCUGUUAGCUACCUUGAACUGUAGAUGUGUUUCUGUAUUUAAAAUAAAUCCUCUCAGUGUCAGUUCUUGCCUCUUUCAAAUUAUUUUAUUAGUUAUGUAGCUAUCACACUACCAGCAGUGGAACUUGCUCCAUAAACUUAAACUGACAUGUUUUUUCCAUCACUGACUGCCUUCAAAAUGUUGGACUCAUGAGCUUCCAGGCUGCUCUGUUGUGGACCAAACAUAUUCCAGGGAAAAGACAGUCUUUAGAUCAGCCUUCAGCCUGGAAGUGGAUAAUGCAUUGGAGUAUCACAGAGUCAUGAGGUUUUGGUUUGUUGCUAUUCAUACUAUUCUGCAUAAAUUAUUCGGAUGAGAGUACUGGAAGUAAGAAUUCGAAAUCUGCAGAUGGUACUAAAAUUGAAAGAGCAAAAUAAUGUAAUGAGAUACAGGUUUGGUUUAUUAAAUAACUGGGCCAUGAGAGGACGUGCUGUUUAAAAAAGGCAAAUGAAAACCUAAUUAAUCUGGGAAUAAAAUAUUUUAAACUGCCAGAUGAGACAGCACAGAGAGAAAAGCUUAAACCAUGUGAGCAAGGGAAUCAAUAUGAUUCAACUGAACACUGGGGAAAGGUUUAUGUCCCUGCUGUUCAAUUUAGUUGAAUUGGUAAUGCUAGGAUUAGAAAAGAAGUAUGCUUUAAUAUAUACUCUUUUUAUAGUUGCAUUUCAUCCUAUACUUUGUAAAGCUCAAAAGGAAGAAAAGGGCCCAUUGUGGAGCAGAUAGACAGUUGUGUAGAAGUCUCCAGUCAAAAUAAAUGAGAGAGAGGAUAAGAGAGAUAUAAAAAGGUAAAAGGUGAUUUGACAAAAGUGAAUGUUAUGGUUAAGGAAAAAAAAUGAAGAGGAAAAUCCAAUUUUCCCUACUUCUAGUCCAGUCAAAUGUGCCUCCUGCAUUUAACUGGCCUGAAUUUGUAGUCUCUCAUCUCAUCUGCAUGAAAAAGAGAAAGAUCUUCAGUUCCAUUCAUAAACUGUACUUCUGUCCUUGUAUUAAACAUUUAAACAUUGUUACUCUUAGAGUACUGGAAGAAAUUCCCCCGUAAAAUCACAGAUUUAAAGGAUAUCUAGUGCUCCACUGAUAAAGGAGCCUAUGAAGUUAAGCUGAUAAGGAGGAAAGAGAUUUGAAUUGUUCUGAGCUCAUCAGUUAACAGGAUACUGAUACACAAACUGAAUUUCACAAUUUCUUUUACAAUAGUCCAUCAUGAGUAAUAUACUCAAAGGUGCAUAAAUGUUAUGUGAUACUAUUUUUCAAAUUGUAAUCAAAAGACUCCUGUGGUGUAAAGAUUAAUCCCAAAGGAUCCAUAAAGCUAAGAAGAGCAAGUUGAUUAUCAGUAAAUUCGUUAAGCAGGGUUUGCACUAUCAUUUAGCUUUUAUGGAUUGGUGAGUUGAAAAGAUUGAAACUCACUAAAUUAAAAAGUUAAGGUUCUUUGAAAAGCAGCUCUAGAAAAACUAUUAAUAGACUUAGCUGCCUAAAAUGCAGAUAAAGCCAAAGAGUAUACUUAAAAAUGUCUAGUAAGCUAGUUCCCAGAUAUCUAAGUGUCUAUGAGAACUGAUUUUAAAUGACUUUUGAAAUGCAACUUUGACACACUCUACAAACACAUCUUAAUCAUAGCAUACAGCAAUGUAACAAUUCUGAGUCCUUCUGGGAAUUAAGUGCUUUUAAGAUAUUAAAAAAAUCUGAGACAGUUAGUAGGCAUCUUUGUUCACCAUUGACGCAAGAAGGCAAAAGGUGCCCUGAACAAACAUUGGACUUUGCAGUCCUAACCAAAAUUACUUACAGAUGCUCAUAAGAAAGAAAGAGGCUGCUACCUACCCACAGGAUAACAGAAUUAUUGUGGAAUACUUACAAAAUUUUUCAAAGUUACUUUACAAACUACUCAACUUCUGCUCUAUUUUUAGAAGUGCAUAAACCAUUUAAAACUGGCUUAUUUGUCCUUUAAAGACAAUUGAUGUUUUACAGUUGAUGUUCUGGCAUUCAGACUAGGAAUUAAAAAUGUACUAAGUUCACAAUCAAACCACCACGUGACUGUCCAUGAACAGCAUCUCAGUUUUGCUUUUUAAAGAAAAUACACAAAAAACUUUAUCAUGUCAAGAACAGAUAUGCAGAGAAAGUCACUUAAUGAUAUAAAGACAUAUGUCAAGACUUACAAAUAAUUAUGGACUGAUGUUCAGUUACAGAGAUAUAACUAUUUAGUUCCAAAUCCAGAAGAAUCUAAAAAUGAAACUAAUAAUAACUAUUCAAAUAUUAGUCUAAUUAAUUAAUUGAGACAUAUGUUUUCCAGGUAACUUCUAGAAAUAUUAAUAUGCUACUUAACAUUCUAUAUGAAUUUAGUAACAUUAAAAAAAGCACAAAUAUUUAUAUAUUUAAGUGGAUUCCAAGUUUCGUUUACCAGAUCUGUUUUUCAUAUCUGCCUUGCAAUAUCGACUCAUCCUUGAGUUUGUUUAAGCCCAGUAUUCAGAAAUUACAAAUCUGGCCAUCAUGGCUAGGCUUCACGAACGAAGAUUUGGUAAGGACUCUACCUACAUUUGCUACAAGUGCACUGGUGGCUAAAGAGGCCAAUGCGAGAUAGACAAGACCGGUUGCAAAAGGCACAGCAGAAAGGCUCCUUGGAUGGUAAAAUCUGGCCAUAGAGUAGCAAUAUAAUCAUGUUAUGCUGAGAUACCUAGAAAGACUAAGGAUAUCCAGGUCAGAAAUUCUGAAGUGUUUUAAAUAAGCUCUUUUCUUCUCUCUUGUAAUAACUUGGGGCCCCUCUCUACCAUCUUAGACUUAUUUUGCCUAUAGCUUCCUUGGCUUCUCUCACUUCUACAUCUACUUCCAGGUUUUAUUCUCCCCCUACAGACAAACUAUUUAUGUUAUUUCAUCUGCAUGCACCUGUCCAGCCUUUGCACCACUGGCACCAGAAAACGGGCUUAGGCUAUUCCAACAGUCUAUUCCCUCCCUCCAGACUGCAGAUUUAAACAAGAUUUUUCUGCACAGCACUUAUCCCUGUGCCCUGAAAUUCACUCCAGUGCUGUAUCCCACGGCCUGGCAUCACAAGCUGUCCAAGGGAAGUGCAAUCCCAGCCCAGAGGAUGGUGAGGCUGCCCUGGCUCUUGGCUCCAUCUCACUGCAGCUCAUUGCAGAGCUGGAGAGUGGUCCCCCACCAGCUCUCCAAAUGACGUCAUAUACGUGAGGGCAAGCCACUUGAACCAUAACCUUUGUGCCUCUUCCCAAAUGCUGAGAGAGCUUUUUAUGUUGUUGUAUAAGAGGAGAAUACUUUUCAAGUGAGGAUAAGAGAGUAGGGAGAGAUCAGAGGAGAGUGAGCAGAGAUACAGAGAAGAGAGGAAAAGAAAGAGUGAAUUUUUCUGGAGUUCCUUUCACAGGAAUGUUUCCCUGAGAAAUAAAGACCUAAUUACAAAACGUUUUUAUUUAGUGUGAUGCUAUCAAGCUGCAGCUCUACUAGUAAAACAGCCACACAGAAAUACUGACUGCUAAUCAGACACUUUCCCAAUUUCAUCUAGAAAAAAUAAAUACUUAUGUAAUUGUAUGGGAAAGACAGUUCUGAAUUUGUAAGCAGGUUAAGUUUGACUUACAGACAUACUUAAGAAACAAGAAACCAUUGUGAGACCAAUUUAACACAGUUGGG